GACGAACGCUGGCGGCGUGCCUAAUACAUGCAAGUCGAGCGGACUUAAAAAGCUUGCUUUUUAAGUUAGCGGCGGACGGGUGAGUAACACGUGGGCAACCUGCCUGUAAGACUGGGAUAACUUCGGGAAACCGGAGCUAAUACCGGAUAAUCCUUUUCUACUCAUGUAGAAAAGCUGAAAGACGGUUUACGCUGUCACUUACAGAUGGGCCCGCGGCGCAUUAGCUAGUUGGUGAGGUAACGGCUCACCAAGGCGACGAUGCGUAGCCGACCUGAGAGGGUGGUCAGCCACACUGGGACUGAGACACGGCCCAGACUCCUACGGGAGGCAGCAGUAGGGAAUCUUCCGCAAUGGACGAAAGUCUGACGGAGCAACGCCGCGUGAGUGAUGAAGGUUUUCGGAUCGUAAAACUCUGUUGUUAGGGAAGAACAAGUACGAGAGUAACUGCUCGUACCUUGACGGUACCUAACCAGAAAGCCACGGCUAACUACGUG
Molecule: ribosomal RNA, 494 nt
Filed under: uncultured bacterium
Lineage: Bacteria
Description: partial 16S ribosomal RNA
Rfam family: Bacterial small subunit ribosomal RNA
Source: RNAcentral